RNAcentral lists this ribosomal RNA (245 nucleotides) under uncultured Desulfatiferula sp. Its description in RNAcentral is "partial 16S ribosomal RNA". It matches the Rfam family "Bacterial small subunit ribosomal RNA", at positions 524 to 768 of the family's 1533-position model. The record is from RNAcentral. Lineage: Bacteria; Pseudomonadati; Thermodesulfobacteriota; Desulfobacteria; Desulfobacterales; Desulfobacteraceae.
CACGGAGGGUGCAAGCGUUAUUCGGAAUUAUUGGGCGUAAAGGGCGCGUAGGCGGCCGAUCAGGUCAGAUGUGAAAGCCCGGGGCUUAACCCCGGAAGUGCAUUUGAAACCGGUUGGCUUGAGUAUGGGAGAGGAGAGCGGAAUUCCUGGUGUAGAGGUGAAAUUCGUAGAUAUCAGGAGGAACACCGGUGGCGAAGGCGGCUCUCUGGACCAAUACUGACGCUGAGGCGCGAAGGCGUGGGUAG